CGGCGGACGGGUGAGUAACACGUGGAUAACCUACCUAUAAGACUGGGAUAACUUCGGGAAACCGGAGCUAAUACCGGAUAAUAUAUUGAACCGCAUGGUUCAAUAGUGAAAGACGGUUUUGCCGUCACUUAUAGAUGGAUCCGCGCUGCAUUAGCUAGUUGGUAAGGUAACGGCUUACCAAGGCAACGAUGCGUAGCCGACCUGAGAGGGUGAUCGGCCACACUGGAACUGAGACACGGUCCAGACUCCUACGGGAGGCAGCAGCC
Molecule: ribosomal RNA, 266 nt
Filed under: uncultured Staphylococcus sp.
Lineage: Bacteria; Bacillati; Bacillota; Bacilli; Caryophanales; Staphylococcaceae
Description: partial 16S ribosomal RNA
Rfam family: Bacterial small subunit ribosomal RNA
Source: RNAcentral